This 253-nucleotide ribosomal RNA is filed under the name uncultured bacterium. Its description in RNAcentral is "partial 16S ribosomal RNA". It matches the Rfam family "Bacterial small subunit ribosomal RNA", at positions 524 to 776 of the family's 1533-position model. The record is from RNAcentral.
UACGGAGGGUGCGAGCGUUGUCCGGAAUCACUGGGCGUAAAGGGCGCGUAGGCGGCGCGGGAAGUCAUCGGUGAAAGUUCAGGGCUCAACUCUGAAUCGGCCGGUGAUACUCUCGUGCUCGAGCACUGUAGAGGCAGGUGGAAUUCCGGGUGUAGCGGUGGAAUGCGUAGAGAUCCGGAAGAACACCGGUGGCGAAGGCGGCCUGCUGGGCAGUAGCUGACACUGAGGCGCGACAGCGUGGGGAGCAAACAGG